UCAUAUUCUCAUAUUCAUCUUCCAAGCACAUUUAAUUCCAGAGAUUGCGAAUUGCUGAAUGCUUCCAUUGCUGUGUUUUGCUGUAUUUUUUUUAUUUUAUUCAAUCCCUCUGUCACGAUACACAGGAUUAGGUACAGCCAAUGGUAAAUUCAUUGAAAUCAACACAGUGCAGGUGAGGAAUGACUGUUAGUAUGGUAGGAUGAAUAUUGACUUGAAUGUAACUGUGAAUGUGUCUUACAGUAUGAUCCAAGAGCACACAGACACACACACACACACACACACACACACACAGGAGCAGUUGAAAUGAGUGGACCAGGAGAUGACUUAGAUUCGACUCGGAAAAAGGAGACAGCAUCAGAGGUGCUUAUGGUUGGUUUCCCAAGCCAAAGCAGCUUACUUACGGAGCCUUGUGAUUACUAAACUGGAACAACAGGGUUUCCCUGAGAGCUCCUGAUCAAAGCAUUGAUUGUGGCUUCCGCUUGGAAGAGGAAGAUCCAGACACUGAAGUAACAGGAACAGGAGCGUUCAGCAGUGUCUGUAUUGCACUCAAAGCUUCCAUCUAGUGGUCAUGACUCUCCUCUGAUCUGGAGCUUGACUAGUUUCUCAGCAUCUCUUUUGCAUUGACUGUAACAAAAUCUUAAUGUAACAUUUGAACAUAUAUUAUUUAUAGCUACAUCUAGAAAAAAAAUGUACAGGAGAUAAUCCAACACCGUAUGUGGUAUUAAAAGUUUUAUAAAAUUUUGGCUAGUAUUUGGUAAGCCUUUGUUAGUAAUUUCUUGAUUUGUAACAAAGUGAGAUUAUAUUUUGGCUCCAAUUUCUGCAAUAGCACUGGAAUAUUUAUUGUGUGUGGCCAUUGUUAUUUAAUACAAUCUUGUUAAUUGUUUAUUUUAAAAGAAAAAGUGCUCGGAAAUGUCUGUAUGUUUCCCUGAAGGAACCAUGUGUAAAAAUGGCAAACUGUUGUUUGAAUAAAAAAUGUUACUUGUUAAA
Molecule: long non-coding RNA, 987 nt
Organism: Carassius gibelio (silver crucian carp)
Lineage: Eukaryota; Metazoa; Chordata; Actinopteri; Cypriniformes; Cyprinidae
Exons: 2
Source: RefSeq, a predicted model, not a curated record